RNAcentral lists this ribosomal RNA (109 nucleotides) under Crocodylus porosus (Australian saltwater crocodile). Lineage: Eukaryota; Metazoa; Chordata; Crocodylia; Crocodylidae. The record is from RNAcentral.
AUAUGCAGCCACAUUGAGCUAAAUGCACCUGAUCUUGGAUGCUAAGCAGCCUUGAACUUAGCUAGCUCUUGGAUGGGACACCACUUUGCAAACCUAGGCACUGCAGAUC